AGUUCUGAAAAGAUGCCACGCAAAAGCACACCAGCAUUCAAAGGACGGUCCGCGGAGGUUUACAAAAGUUUAUCCGAACCGAAGGCUACAAUUCCGAAUUCUGGAGCAAAAGAUACGUCCCAAGUAUGUCUUAAUUCCGAGGACUUCAAGUUGUCGUGGAGCCAAAGAUUGUGGUUUAAUACGCUAUCCUUUUGUUGCUGCGGACAACCGAUAAAUAAAAAUGUUAGUGAUAAUUUGGAUGAGUAAUGCAAAUUCUAAAGACUUCAAUAAUUUGAUUAAAUGUAUGCACAUAUGUAGAAUAUUAUUAAUAAAAUAAAUAAGUAAAGUACAAUAACUG
Drosophila melanogaster (fruit fly) is the source of this 337-nucleotide non-coding RNA. NCBI's taxonomy places the organism in Eukaryota, Metazoa, Arthropoda, Insecta, Diptera, Drosophilidae. The record is from Ensembl.